UACGGAGGGUGCAAGCGUUAUCCGGAAUCACUGGGUUUAAAGGGUGCGUAGGCGGCUUAGUAAGUCAGUGGUGAAAGACUGUGGCUUAACCAUGGAAUUGCCAUUGAUACUGCUGAGCUUGAAUCAGGUUGAGGUUGGCGGAAUGUGACAUGUAGCGGUGAAAUGCUUAGAUAUGUCACGGAACACCGAUUGCGAAGGCAGCUGACUGGACCUGUAUUGACGCUGAGGCACGAAAGCGUGGGGAGCAAACAGG
RNAcentral lists this ribosomal RNA (253 nucleotides) under uncultured bacterium. Its description in RNAcentral is "partial 16S ribosomal RNA". It matches the Rfam family "Bacterial small subunit ribosomal RNA", at positions 524 to 776 of the family's 1533-position model. The record is from RNAcentral.